UGCGGAGUAGCUCAGCGGCCGAGCAGUCGUCUCAUAAACGAAAGGACGCGGGUUCAAAUCCCGCCUCCGCGA
Molecule: transfer RNA, 72 nt
Filed under: Pyrinomonadaceae bacterium
Lineage: Bacteria; Pseudomonadati; Acidobacteriota; Blastocatellia; Blastocatellales; Pyrinomonadaceae
Description: tRNA-Met
Rfam family: tRNA
About the family: Transfer RNA (tRNA) molecules are approximately 80 nucleotides in length. Their secondary structure includes four short double-helical elements and three loops (D, anti-codon, and T loops).
Source: RNAcentral